CAAACCGCAUUGAACCCUGGGAGAGAAUAAGAAAAUAAACGUCAGGCUCUAAAGCUGUUUCACGUGAGGGGAGGACGAAAGAGGGAUGAGAGGCUUGAGAGCCGGCGGCGGUGGGAAAGGAAGGACCGAGGCUGGGGAUCCCGGCGCAGACUGGUUUGUGAAACCUGGAGCAACUCCGUUCCUCUCUGGGGGCUACAAGAAAGCAGGACCUGAGUGCGCAUUCUUCCCGUGCCUAGGAUACUUUGGAGGCUAAAAAUAGUCGCCGGAGCCGCGCUGGGUGUCUAGCUGGAGGGCCGUCUGCAAACCAAGCUGGAGUCCUGGAUUCGAAUCCAGACAAGGCCUACCUCCAUGUCGGGGCACCUCCGUCGGCUUGCUACCUGAGUACCGGUCCCCGUGCGCGCCAGGAUUUCUAAGGGGCGUCCUAGCUCUUGGAAAGAAAAAGGGAAAACCCUUGAUUUUUCUUUUCUGCCCCUGCCCGAGGGGCCUUGGGGCCCGGGGCCGGGAACUGGGGCCGGGGGAGGGGUGUGCCGGGACGGCUCAUUACCGCGAGGUGUUGCCCCAGUUAAAUCACCGGCCUGUUUGAUCUGGCGGCGGGUGGCGAGAGGGCAAAAAAGGAAGAAGUAGGGGGGUAAGACUGGAGAGAAGCUCACACCUCCCCCACCGUUUCCUCGCAUCCAUAAAACACCUUUUAUUAACUCCUUCGUGUCCGGAAAGGCCCUCGUGGCCGCUCGGCCCCUGCCACGGUGUUUACAGCCAAGACUAAUGGGGCCCCAUAUUCACCCCGAUGCCGGCAUGAAGAGCCUGGAAAGGCCUGGCUCCAGAGCUGCUCCGGGCCUCCUUUCUCGGCCCCAAGCCGAGGGCCCCCAGCUCCGGGUGUAGGGCGAGCGAGCGCCCAGGGACUGGUGCGCGCAUUCUCGCGCCUCGCUCGCAGGGAGCGCCGAAGACUCGUGCAGGCACUGCACACCGUGCGCCCCUCGGGCAAUCGUGGGAGCUAUUCGGAGGCAUAAAAGCGCUUGGCUAGUACCUAGUACACAUUCGCGCGCCAGUAAAACUACUUGUCUGUAGGCUAUUAUUCAGGAACACGUUUGCCUGCCCCAGUUUAGCGCAGCAAGAGCCCGAGCCUCGGCGAAUGCACCGGUUUUUAUUCGCCCCCGCGCCCAGCCACGGGAGCGCACGUGGGGGAACAAAGAUAGCUCUCCUGCACAAAUGCCGGAAUUAGUGUGCGCACACUCCAUCCCUUUGCGCAAAUCCACGUGUUAUCACGAUUAUUUGUUGAGUGCGUUGUUGCUGGAGAAAAACCUAAACGUCUCGAAUUUAACCAGAAGCGCUCGCGAGCUUCUUUUACUCAAGUAUAAAAUAAUAGCUGCUACGACUCGACGAGUCGUUAUUGCAUGCCGGGAGCUGUGCCACGCAGACCCGCAGAGCCCCCCACCCCACCCCACCCCCAGGCACCAGGCUCCAUGAGUUCCUGCACCAUUACAUGCCCAGAUGUGUUCAGAAUUUCAUAUACAUGAACAUAGUAUUCCUGAGCACACCCCUCUCUACCCAGCUACACUACCCUGGGGCUGAUGCCCCAUUCCUGAUAAUCCCAAACCACUGCCUGUAGGUUAGUAUGGGUGUGCAUACUAACCUGAUGUUAGACCAUGCCGAGUUACCUAAAUCGUAGCCAGUCUCUCUGGGUCUAAUGCCUUUCCAGUUUUCCUUUCUGUGGGUUCACUAAAGUUAUCCUGUCUCACAGUUGCAUUAUAAGGAGAACUUUGUUCUUUGUUCCAGGAAUAUGUCCUUUGUCUGCCCCCUCCGCCUUGACUUGAUUUGUAGUUUGGCAUUUAUCAAAAGAAGGUAGAAAUAGGACGCUCUCCACCUAGCAGAAAUUACGGAGCUGGGAUACCCACCAAGACAUCACACAGGCUUCUUCCGAUUUCGGAAAAUGUUUUAUUGGUCAAGAGCAUAGAUACUGCUUUGGCAAAGGGAGGGGGCGGUGAGUGGUCAUACAGGUUUGAGGUAGAAAAGGGGUGGGGAUGGGGGAAUAAACAAACACCUGAGCGCAGCAGGCACCGUAGGUAGUUUAAAUACAUAAAAACUUUUCAACAUAGGGGAAACGCUUUUACUUAGGAAAGGAAGGAAGGAAGGAAAAGAGAGAGAGAAAGAAAAGAAGGAAGAGAGAAAGAAAAGGCAGGCAAGCGUUUCCCUUGGAACUAAGUAGGAAGUGCAGCAACAAAAAAUAAAGUAAAAACAUCACUGUUUGAGGGAGACCAACAACAAAAGGCAGCCAGCCCUCCAUCUUCCUGUCCAUGGUCUGCUUCUCUGUCCAUGGCAGAAAACUAUUGAUUCCUCUUAUUGCAUUUUAAUCAGGGAAGGGAGCGCCGGAGAAUUUUGACGAGGGGGGGGGCGGGUGAGAAAGAGAGCCAUAUAGGUAGUAGGGAAGGCGCUGGGGGUUCCAAAUUCGCCCCAGAAGGGUUGGAAGGGUGCGUCUUAGCCCACUCGGGUCCUGCCGUCCCUCCCUCCCACAUAGUGCCUCCAAGAGUAGCCCUCUCGGUUUUGGGGGUGGAUAUAUAUAUAUUUCUCUUUUUCUUAAUGUAUUAAAAACAAUUUCAAAUGACA
Long non-coding RNA from Pteropus alecto (black flying fox), 2601 nucleotides. RefSeq lists it as uncharacterized. Lineage: Eukaryota; Metazoa; Chordata; Mammalia; Chiroptera; Pteropodidae. The transcript has 2 exons. The record is from RefSeq and is a predicted model, not a curated record.